GGAGGAUGCUGAUGGUACUACGAGGAGGAUGCUGAUGGUGCUGAGGAGGAUGCUGAUGGCGUUACGAGGUGGAUGCUGAUGAAGCAACGAGAGAUGCUGAUGGAGCGACGAAGAGGCUGCUGAUGGAGCGACGAAGAGAGGAUGCUGACGGAGACAGGAAGCAUGCUGAUGGAGAACAAGAUGAAAAACAAGAUGAGAUUUUUAAGAAAUCUUGGAUUUUGAGAGAGCAUAUAUACUCUGUUGAAUUCGGCGUAUUCUUACUAAGUCAGAGAGUUCCCUCGCUCUCUGACUUAGAAAACGAAUUUUGUGGUAAAGUAUUUCAAAGUAGGCUCCUGCCACCUAUUUUGGAAUAAUGUUGUACAAAUUUCUAUUAAGUAAUGAUUUUAGAAUAAUGUUGUUUGAAAAGCAUUUAUGCCGUGAUGAAUAAAUAACAUCCAUCGGUAGUUUUGAAACGACUGUCAGCUUAAAAUAUGCAUAUGUAUUUAAAUUAAACAUGGUCACCAUGCCAGCAAGUGUCAGCGUUUGAUAAAUGUUUUUCGAAAUACGCUUUUCAAUGCAAUAUGGAAAUUUGUCAUCAUAACGUGCACAAAAUCGCUGUUUCGUAAUAAUAUAUACGCAAUUUUAACAAAUA
This is a long non-coding RNA of Xenia sp. Carnegie-2017, 631 nucleotides long. RefSeq lists it as uncharacterized. The record is from RefSeq and is a predicted model, not a curated record. The transcript is spliced from 2 exons. Lineage: Eukaryota; Metazoa; Cnidaria; Anthozoa; Malacalcyonacea; Xeniidae.